GACGAACGCUGGCGGCGUGCCUAACACAUGCAAGUCGAACGAAGCGCUGCGGAAAGAGACUUCGGUCAAUGGAAGCUUUGACUUAGUGGCGGACGGGUGAGUAACGCGUGAGGAACCUGCCUUUCAGUGGGGGACAACAGUUGGAAACGACUGCUAAUACCGCAUAACAUACGGAUGUCGCAUGGCAACCGUAUCAAAGAUUUUAUCGCUUGAAGAUGGACUCGCGUCCGAUUAGCCAGUUGGCGGGGUAACGGCCCACCAAAGCGACGAUCGGUAGCCGGACUGAGAGGUUGAACGGCCACAUUGGGACUGAGACACGGCCCAGACUCCUACGGGAGGCAGCAGUGGGGGAUAUUGCGCAAUGGGGGCAACCCUGACGCAGCAACGCCGCGUGAACGAUGAAGGUCUUCGGGAUUGUAAAGUUCUUUUAAUUAAGGACGAAG
RNAcentral lists this ribosomal RNA (443 nucleotides) under uncultured bacterium. RNAcentral describes it as "bacterial SSU rRNA". It matches the Rfam family "Bacterial small subunit ribosomal RNA", at positions 28 to 450 of the family's 1533-position model. The record is from RNAcentral.